RNAcentral lists this ribosomal RNA (788 nucleotides) under Cysteiniphilum litorale. Its description in RNAcentral is "bacterial SSU rRNA". It matches the Rfam family "Bacterial small subunit ribosomal RNA", at positions 648 to 1434 of the family's 1533-position model. Lineage: Bacteria; Pseudomonadati; Pseudomonadota; Gammaproteobacteria; Thiotrichales; Fastidiosibacteraceae. The record is from RNAcentral.
UUACUAGAGGAUUGGGGAAUUUCCGGUGUAGCGGUGAAAUGCGUAGAGAUCGGAAGGAACAUCAAUGGCGAAGGCAACAAUCUGGGGUUAAACUGACACUGAGGGACGAAAGCGUGGGUAGCAAACAGGAUUAGAUACCCUGGUAGUCCACGCUGUAAACGAUGAGUACUAGCUGUUGGGUCUGGUGUAAAAGACUUAGUGGCGCAGCUAACGCGAUAAGUACUCCGCCUGGGGACUACGGCCGCAAGGUUAAAACUCAAAGGAAUUGACGGGGACCCGCACAAGCGGUGGAGCAUGUGGUUUAAUUCGAUGCAACGCGAAGAACCUUACCUGCCCUUGACAUCCAUAGAAGAUCUGAGAGAUUGGAUUGUGCCUUCGGGAACUAUGAGACAGGUGCUGCAUGGCUGUCGUCAGCUCGUGUUGUGAAAUGUUGGGUUAAGUCCCGCAACGAGCGCAACCCUUAUUUUUAGUUGCCAUCAUUAAGUUGGGCACUCUAGAGAGACUGCCGCUGAUAAGGCGGAGGAAGGUGGGGACGACGUCAAGUCAUCAUGGCCCUUACGGGCAGGGCUACACACGUGCUACAAUGGGCAUUACAGAGGGAAGCGAAGCUGCGAGGUGGAGCGAAACUCAGAAAGGUGUUCGUAGUCCGGAUUGCUCUCUGCAACUCGAGAGCAUGAAGUCGGAAUCGCUAGUAAUCGCGGAUCAGAAUGCCGCGGUGAAUACGUUCCCGGGUCUUGUACACACCGCCCGUCACACCAUGGGAGUGGGUUGCAAAAGAAGUAGAUAGU